RNAcentral lists this long non-coding RNA (2396 nucleotides) under Suricata suricatta (meerkat). RNAcentral's name for it is "lncRNA (ENSSSUG00005009670.1)". Lineage: Eukaryota; Metazoa; Chordata; Mammalia; Carnivora; Herpestidae. The record is from RNAcentral.
GGGGAGGCUGGGAUCCAGGGGCACAGCUGCUUGCUCUGGUGACGUUGACCCUGUGGGGACAGCUGUGUUGUAAAAAUGAAUCUGAUAAUCAGAGUGAAUCGGAUGCCUAGGUCAUGAUGGACUGACUGUGUCCUCCCCACCAAAUUCACAUGUUGAAGUCCCGAUUCCCCAAGAGGACAGUAUUAAGAGGUAAGGAGGUUUGGAUGAUGUCCUGAGGGUGGGGCUCCCCAGGGUGAGAUUAGUGCCCUUCCGGGGCCUGUGCCCACGUGCGUUCACGUAGAGCAGAGCCCAUGGGAGGGCUAGUGAGGAGGCGGACACUCACUGAGAGUGAGUGUGCAGGUGCCCUGGUCUUAGACUUGCCCACCUGCAGAGCUGGAGAACAAAUGCCCACUGUUCAGACCACCCCGUGGGUGGUGUUUUGUUCCAGCAUCCAAAGGGACUGGGGUGUGUGUGGAGAAAGGAAGUCCUCACAACAGCUGAAACUCUAAAUCCAGCCCUCCCCUGUUCCAGCUGUACCUCUGGGCUUUGUGCGGUUUGGUUAUGCAGCCCACAGAUUCCCUUUUUUGCUCACAUUGGUCUGGGCUAAGUUUCUAAUUAAUUUUUCCACUAUUACCAGUCAGUAGCUGCUUCACAGGACAAAACUUUCACUUCUCGCGGGAGCUCUGUGCUGCUGGCCUUCUGGUGCUUGCUGCUACGGACCAGCCCCCCACCCUGUCCUCCUGAUGCUGCCCCAAAUGUCCACCUCCUACCCGAGGACCACCUGGGCCCAAACAGAGACUCCAGUAUUGCAGCCCAGUUGGCUUGUGUGCAGCGUGUCCGGUAGAUGCCCAUUCUUGAGGCAGAAGUCCUCUCAGACCAAGGAAGGAGCACACUGCUUGGCCAGGUGCUGUCCCAAGCAGCGCUGGAAAAUUCUUGACAUCAUCCAGUGGCUUAUCCUGGAAAUGGUGUCGAUGGAAGUGGAGAGCGGGGCGAGCAGGAGGCUGCGGACCAGAAGCUGAGGGCACAGAUUCUGAAAAAGAUUACUGACAACCCCAGUUGUGAGGCAGCCGACUGGAAAGGGCCGGUUCUAGAGCAGAAAGCCUUCCUGCCGGCAGAGCAAGGAUAAAAACAAAGUCCUGGCAAAUACAAUCAGGCAUCGCCUACAGCCUCUUCCCUCAGCAGUAACACUCACGUGUUGUGUGUGUUAUUUUAUAUCACCCAAACCAUGUGCACAUACGCCUUUGUGUCCUUUAUUUCACUGUGUAUCCCAUCUUGAAAAUUGUCCCUUGUCAUUAGAACUCAUCCACAAACAUCAUUUUUGAGAACUAUAUAGUAUUUGUUCACUCUACCGUAUUUGCUUAUGUCCUUAUUGCUGGAUAUUUCCCCCAAGUUUUCAGUAUUACAAAGAACUCAGGAAUAAACCACUUUGUCUCCUACCUGUGGUUUUCCAGAGAUCUCUCUCUCUCUCUUAGCCUUCUCUUAUAGAUUUUGGCAGAGAAAACACUCAUGUUGUUAUGAAAGGAGAGGUUAACAAGCUGGUAAAAUGCACAUAUCGUAUAGGAGAUUGUAAGCAAUGCUUAUUUUCUUCUUUGGACUUGCUGUGAGGACUAUCCUAGGUUUAUAGAUAAGGAAGCUGAGGCUCAAAGAAGUUAAGUGAUUUGCUCAAGGUCACUGAGCCAGGAUUUCAACUCAGGCAAUUAAACUCCAGAGCCCCCACUUCUUUUCUUGUUAGUGUUUAUUCAUUUUGAGAGACAGAGAGUGUGUGUGUGUGUGUGUGUGUGUGUGUGUGUGUGCGUGCAUACACAUGGAGGAGGGGCAAAGGAAGGCCAAGAGAAAGAGAAUCCCAAGCAGGCUCCAUGCUUAGCGAGGAGCCUGACCUAGGACUCCGUCCACGACUGUGAGCUCAUGACUCGAGCUGAAUGAAGAGUCGGAUGCUUAACUGACUGAACCACCCAGGCACCGCCCCCACCCAGAGCCCACAUUUUAACUUCUUUGCUUUACCGCCUCAAAUAAACUGUGGUUCGUAAGCAACAAGAUGAUGCUGUAGAAGAACGCAAGGUAAGAAAGAUUAAGAGGACAAAAGCAGCUUACAAAGUGAUACAUUCAGUCUGGUUCUUCUUCUUCUUCUUCUUCUUUUUUUUUUUUUUUUUUUUUUACUUUGUAGGAUAUAAAAUGCACAGGACGAAGAAUGGGAAAAUGCCCGUCAGGAUGGGGGGAUUAUUUGUGAUUUUAAUUUUCUUUGUACUUUUCCCGAUGUUCUGUAAUGACCACUUCUUGAAGUCAGAAAACUUUAAAGUAUCAGAAUCUUGUAUUCAUUCAGUUGACAGGAAACUACCAUGGAUGGAGGCGAACGCGGGCUCUAGGCUGGGGGCAUGAGGAGGUAGGGGGAAAGCAGGAAGGCUUCAGGGAAGAGGGGG